This 337-nucleotide long non-coding RNA is filed under the name Medicago truncatula (barrel medic). Its description in RNAcentral is "long non-coding RNA (MTRU_LNC006813)". Lineage: Eukaryota; Viridiplantae; Streptophyta; Magnoliopsida; Fabales; Fabaceae. The record is from RNAcentral.
UUCUUGCUUAUUAUUUCUUAUGUCUCAUUCACCAUAAUAUUUCUUGUGAUUACUAACCAUUUAAUUUUUGUCUUAAAUCAUAGCAUGCAUAUUUAAUUUUCUCAUCAUUUUAUUUUGUCAUUGACUUAGUAUGUAUAAAUAGGGAAUUGAUGUAAUUUUAUUUCUUGCAUUUUAUUUUGGCAUAAAGGCCUUAGGGUUGUAUUUAGGAAUUGAUGUAAUAAUGUAGGUAACACAAGCACCGACACAUGCACCGACACUACCACAUUUUAUUUACCGCUUUCCGUUAGUUUUUACGACGUUACGUUAGUUUUCACCGUUAGUUUAGAAAAAUCAUUUU